Molecule: ribosomal RNA, 465 nt
Filed under: uncultured bacterium
Lineage: Bacteria
Description: partial 16S ribosomal RNA
Rfam family: Bacterial small subunit ribosomal RNA
Source: RNAcentral
GACGAACGCUGGCGGCGUGCUUAACACAUGCAAGUCGAACGGAAAGGCCCUGCUUGCAGGGUGCUCGAGUGGCGAACGGGUGAGUAACACGUGGGUGAUCUGCCCUGCACUUCGGGAUAAGCCUGGGAAACUGGGUCUAAUACCGGAUAGGAGCCAUCUUUAGUGUGAUGGUUGGAAAGUUUUUUCGGUGUAGGAUGAGCUCGCGGCCUAUCUGCUUGUUGGUGGGGUAAUGGCCUACCAAGGCGGCGACGGGUAGCCGGCCUGAGAGGGUGGACGGCCACAUUGGGACUGAGAUACGGCACAGACUCCUACGGGAGGCAGCAGUGGGGAAUAUUGCACAAUGGGCGCAAGCCUGAUGCAGCGACGCCGCGUGGGGGAUGACGGCCUUCGGGUUGAAAACUCCUUUCGCUAGGGACGAAGCUUUUUGUGACGGUACCUAGAGAAGAAGCACCGGCUAACUACGUG